Molecule: RNA transcript, 992 nt
Organism: Cervus elaphus (red deer)
Lineage: Eukaryota; Metazoa; Chordata; Mammalia; Artiodactyla; Cervidae
Gene name: histone H3.3C-like
Exons: 3
Source: RefSeq, a predicted model, not a curated record
AUGCAAGGCCCGGGCGGGCUGAGCCCACGGCGCCUGCGCCUCAGGCAGCGACCACAGUACCGGGCGCAGCAACCGCCUCCGCCGCGGCCGCUGCGGUCUCAGCCGCCGGCGCGCCGCGCUCCCGAAGUCCAGCGCGCGCCGCCUCGCCACAGCCAGGCCCGAGGCCCCGCCCACGCCGUCGGGUGCCCGGGGGGCUGCCACGCCCACUCCUCACGGGUGUUCGCCCAAGGGGCUGCUGGGGGCCCUGGCCCGCUUCCCAGGUUGGCGGGAGCAGACGGUGGCCAUCCUCCGACCCGUCGAUGGUCUGGCACAGCUCUGAUCAUCUUUUCGCUCUUCCGUAGGCUGGAGGGAGUGGCGGCUGCAGCCAGUUACUCCUGGGUUUUUUUGUUUUUGUUUUUUGUUUUUGGCAAGAGGAGGCUGCUUAAAGCGAGAGUUGGCGGAAACCUGAUGGAUGGGAACUCUGCCCACGCCGAAAACCCUUAUCUUUUGUUUGUUUGCUUACGAAGCACGUUACCCAGAGUGUCUGCCAAGCCAGGUGGAAGUGGAGGGUGGACACGGUAUCUGGGUCCCCCUCCCAGGGCCCAGGGCCGACUCUGCAGCGCCCUCUGCCGCAGGCUCCGCCUCCACCGUCUGAGUGCCCUCCGGUCACCUCAGGGACCCUCCUUGGUGAUGCACAACACAGUUAACGGUGAAGCUCCGCUUAAUAAGGAUUAUAGUCCAGGACACAGCCUCUCAGAUGCCUCUGAGGAGCUAUUCUGAAGAGAUGGGGAGAGUGUUUAUAAGGAGUCAAGAGACAGCAAGAGGAAACUCUGGGGGCUAAGUGCUCCCCUGCCUCCCCAACAUAUUCCUUCAGGAAAGAAGGUUGUAUUCCUUGAGUCCAAGCAGCAUAGUAAUCUGGCAAGAAUGUACUCCCAGAGUAAGAGCUUUCCAUGGCUUGAAGGAAAAAGGAGACAGCUACAACCCAUGUAAGAUGAGAACAGGGGCCUGAGAAG